GGCGUGCUUAACACAUGCAAGUCGAACGAUGAACCACUUCGGUGGGGAUUAGUGGCGAACGGGUGAGUAACACGUGGGCAAUCUGCCCUGCACUCUGGGACAAGCCCUGGAAACGGGGUCUAAUACCGGAUAUGAGCCUGGGAGGCAUCUCCCGGGUUGUAAAGCUCCGGCGGUGCAGGAUGAGCCCGCGGCCUAUCAGCUUGUUGGUGAGGUAGUGGCUCACCAAGGCGACGACGGGUAGCCGGCCUGAGAGGGCGACCGGCCACACUGGGACUGAGACACGGCCCAGACUCCUACGGGAGGCAGCAGUGGGGAAUAUUGCACAAUGGGCGAAAGCCUGAUGCAGCGACGCCGCGUGAGGGAUGACGGCCUUCGGGUUGUAAACCUCUUUCAGCAGGGAAGAAGCGAAAGUGACGGUACCUGCAGAAGAAGCGCCGGCUAACUACGUGCCAGCAGCCGCGGUAAUACGUAGGGCGCAAGCGUUGUCCGGAAUUAUUGGGCGUAAAGAGCUCGUAGGCGGCUUGUCACGUCGAUUGUGAAAGCCCGAGGCUUAACCUCGGGUCUGCAGUCGAUACGGGCUAGCUAGAGUGUGGUAGGGGAGAUCGGAAUUCCUGGUGUAGCGGUGAAAUGCGCAGAUAUCAGGAGGAACACCGGUGGCGAAGGCGGAUCUCUGGGCCAUUACU
Molecule: ribosomal RNA, 683 nt
Filed under: Streptomyces sp. Sp080513KE-07
Lineage: Bacteria; Bacillati; Actinomycetota; Actinomycetes; Kitasatosporales; Streptomycetaceae
Description: bacterial SSU rRNA
Rfam family: Bacterial small subunit ribosomal RNA
Source: RNAcentral